Bemisia tabaci is the source of this 1174-nucleotide non-coding RNA. The record is from RefSeq and is a predicted model, not a curated record. Lineage: Eukaryota; Metazoa; Arthropoda; Insecta; Hemiptera; Aleyrodidae.
CGAUUCUUAUAAAUUUAAUAUGAAAAACAAACAAAAAUUCCCAUCGGAAACGGCUUAUUGUUGUUUGUUGAAUAAUAUUUGAUAUAAUGUUAAGAGCAUAGUCGUGCGCGCUAUCAAACACCUGAUAAAAGUUCCGACAGUGUUUUUUUUUUUUUUUUUUUCAACAAUAAAAUUACAAGAAUCGAAGAGGCAAGAGACCCUGUCGCUCAGGUAUGAAUAUUCAAGAAUUUUUGGUGAUAUGCUUCUGCUUGCAAGGAGGCUAUCAUGCUCAUAAUAUCCUCGUAUUCUUGCCAACUUGUUUUUGGAGCCAUUUCAUGCAAGUCGAGCCAAUCUUCCAUGCGCUAGCGCUUCGCGGUCACAACAUGACUGUUGUCAGCCCGUUUCCUCCAAAAAAGGAAAUUCCAAAUUAUAGACAUAUUCAGUUAGAGGCGGACCAAUUUUUUAAACAGAUGCCAAACCGCAAUAUCAUAGAACUCACACAGGAUUCACCACAUGCGUUGUUCAGCGUGAAGGACUGGAAGGAGGUAGCUGAUUUAGAGAUGCCAGCUAUUCUCGAGUCGGCCGUUUUCAGCGACUUAGUUCGAGGCGAUAGCGAAUUCGACCUAAUUUUCACGGAGCUUUUCUUCUCGCAAGAGGCAUUGGUCGUUCUCGGCCACAUAUUCAAAGCCCCGGUCGUCUCAUACGCCAGUUUCGGAUACAGACCUGAUAUCCUCAGAUUUGCCGGAGCUCCAAAUGCCGUCGCGUAUCUUCCAUACAAAGAACUCGACUAUGCGGGGCCGAUGAACCUCCUACAGAGAUUAGAAAACGCAUUGGUCCAAUUUGGCCACAUGAUCUACAACGAGUAUUGGUACUACCCCCAGCACGACGCUCUCCUGGCAAAGUAUGUUCCCGGGCAACUCCCGCGCAUCACAGAUAUGCUGAGGAAUGUAUCACUACACUUUCUUACUGCUGACAUAUCUUUGGACGGGGCUAAACUCUAACCUCCGAAUGUAGUCGAAAUAUCGGGGAUACAUUUCAAGGAUCCGGCACCCUUGGACGAGGAAUUACAAAAUAUUAUGGACCGAGCAAAGAAUGGAGUAAUUUAUUUCAGCUUUGGGUCAAUACUGAAAGCUAGCUUUUUCAAGAGAGAGGAUGUGAGUACAUUCUUAACUGUUUUCAACGAAUUGGACCAGAC